UUUGCCGCAGCAUAGAUCCAUACAAGAUUCCAAGACAAAAAUAUAUUGAAAAUUUACAGUAUUUGACAACAGUGAUACCUUAUCACGUGGACAGUGGCCCACCUGAUGAUCAAGCUUUACAAGUCCUCAUUAAGAUAUUGAAGGCUAUUAAUGAGGACAGUCCAACGGUGCCCACAUUAUUAACGGACUACAUAUUGAAAGAAGGGUUGAUUUCUUUCACCUUGUCUUGAAUCCGUGCGAGAUAAACACUUGUAUAUUUCACGGUCCCGUUAUUAUCAUGAGGUUGAAGUUCGUAAUGUUAUUCAGGCUAUGAAUCUUUAGAAAAACUUGGAAUACAACUUCAGGAUUGUCUGAAAAUAAGUAAACCGUAAUAAACCAAAUUAUAAUCAUAUCAAGUUAUCAGUAAUAAGCAAU
This 414-nucleotide unclassified non-coding RNA is filed under the name Neodiprion pinetum (white pine sawfly). RNAcentral describes it as "fasciculation and elongation protein zeta-2-like, transcript variant X3". The record is from RNAcentral. Lineage: Eukaryota; Metazoa; Arthropoda; Insecta; Hymenoptera; Diprionidae.